GUUCUCGUAGAGACACUGGUUCUAGUGAUUCGGAGACGGGGUGAGUUGGGAGAGAAGAGUAAAGGAAACUGGCCGGGAAUACCCCAGAAAGAGGCCUUGAAUAAAGAAACCACUGACCUCACCUUUAGUGAUGUUAGCAUAUGGUGGUGGCUUCUGCUUGUAGAUAGUGGAGGAGCGCAGGACUGUGGUGGACAGUGAGGGCCGGAGGGAGACCACAGUGACCCGUCAAGAACCGGAGAGUAGUCCUAGAUGUGGUAAGUUAAGAGUAUGAGUCAAAAGGGCCCAUCUCAACUCCUUGGGGAAAGGAAACUCUUGCUCUUGUACCUUUUAAUAUUUAUUUCUCUCCUUUGCCUCUGACCAUUCUUGUCAUUUAGUCAAUCUGUUUGACUUUCUUCCUUAGAUCCAGAAUCACCAAGACCUCCGGCCCUGGAUGAUGCUUUUUCCAUUCUGGAUUUAUUUCUAGGACGUUGGUUUCGGUCCCGGUAGCCUUGUUAAUCUUAGGGGCCUUCAGGUCCUUUCCACUUCUCACCCUUUGCCCACCAUCAUUAAGCUUAGCUUCUUCUGCCACCUCAGGGGCUUGGGUAUGUGGAACAGUGAUUUGGGGGUGUGUCAGUCUUCCACUUACCUAGACUGACCAAUAAAACCUUUAUUUAUGCUAAAGGUCUUGGUCUUUCUUUUGUUAACACUGUUCUACUUUCCAGAAUCAUGCAACGCUCAAUAUUUUGGCUUAGUUUUCUCCUUAUUUUUAUUUUUUAAAAAAUAUUUUCAGCCAACUACUGUGGGGCUUGCCUGUAAUCCCAGUGGCUCAGGAGGCUGAGACAGGAGGAUUGCGAGUUCAAAGGCAGCCUCAGCAAUGGUGAGGCACUAAACAACUCAGUGAGACCCUGUCUCUAAAUAAAAAAACAAAAAUAGGGCUGGGGAUGUGGCUCAGUGGUUGAGUGCUGCCCCUGAGUUCAAACCAUGGUACCACACACACACACACACACACACACACACACACGUGUGUGUGUGGGUGGGGGGGUAGAUGGGCCCAAUACCUUUAUUUUGCUUAUUUGUUUUUUUGGGGUGCUGAGGAUGGAACCCAGUGCCUCACAUGUGCUAGGCAAGCACUCUGCCACUGAGCCACAGUAUAGCCCCCCUUCUUAUUUUUAAAGUUUUUGUUCUACUUCCAAAACCUGAUUUAAUGUAGAGUCAGACACCAUUGGAAACUGAUUUCUUAUUGAGCAGAUAACUGCAGAUAAUGCCAAUAACAUUUCUAAGAAAGGAUACAUCAAGUUGGGCACAGUGGCAUGUCUAAUCCCAGCCAUUUGGGAGGCUGAGGCAAGAGGAUCACAAUUUGAGGCCAGCUUAGGCAACUUAGUGAGAGCUGUCUCAAAAUAUAAAGGACUGGGGAUUAUGCUCAGGGGGAAAGCACUUGCCUAGCACAUGUGAGGUCUUGGGUUCGAUACCCAGUACCAUCACCACAAAAACAACAACAACAAAAAUACAUCAAUACAGCAGAUUUCCCCCCAAACGGUGUGUUUGGUAUGAAGUAGGGGAUGACUGUUUUUCCUAAGUGCAGGACCACUGACUGGAUAAUUCACAAGAUAAUAUGAAGAAGUAUAUAGGUGAAUAUUUCUUUACUGGCUAUGUUUUUAUUUUUAUGUAUGUUAGAAAAGUAUAACUUAUACAAACAUUACUAGAUCUUUUUCUCAUUGAAAACUUUUUUUUUUAGUACUAUAGUUAGGAAUGGCAGGUUUUACACAUUUACUUCCCUCUGUUUUCUCUCUAAACCACACAAAAAUGAUGACAAAGGGAUUUUUAUAAAAAGGCAUAAGUAUAAGUAUCAAGGACAGGAAUUGAUAAUAAUGAAAUUUCUUUUUUUUUUUCUUUUCUUUUUUUUUUUUAGUUGGACACCUUUAUUUUAUGUAUUUGUUUUUAUGUGGUGCUGAGGAUGGAACCCAGGGCCUCACUAGGUAAGCGCUCUACCACUGACCCACAACCCCAGCCCUGAAAUUUGUCUUUUUAUUAAAAUAUCUUUUGGUUGACAGAAGCUGUUGAUUUGUUAUAGCCAAAUUUAUGUUUUCCUUUUAUGAUUAGCAUUUUUUAAAAAUAUUUAUUUCUUAGUUGUAGUUGGACACAAUAUCUUUAUUUUAUUAUAUGUGGUGCUAAGGAUCAAACCCAGGGCCUCGCACAUGCUAGGCGAGCACUUUACUGCUGAGCCACAACCCCAGCCCUGAUUAGCAUUCUUUAUAACUUUCAGAAAUCUCCUAACCCAAAGUUAAAAGGAUAUUUUCCUAUUUAUCUGGUAAAAGUUUUAUUAUAGUUUUUUUUCUUUUCAGGUUUUGAAAUCUACCUGGAAUUUUUCUUGGUGUAUGGUCUGAAUUGGGAGAAAAACUUUAUUUUUUCCCAUUUGGAAAUAGUAUAUUAAUGGUUAGAUAAGUAUUUAUAAAUAUACACACCUGUGGGCUGCGGCUCUCGCUCAGAGGCAGAGCACUUGCUUAGCAUAUGUGAGGCACUGGGUUCAAUCCUCAGCACCACAUAAAAGAAUAAGACUUGCUGCCCAUCUAUAAUAUAAAAAAAAAAAAAAAUGUUUUUAAAGUAUACUAGGUCUUUCUAUUCUGUGCUAGGUCUUUGUAUUCUCUUAUACUCAUCUACUUUAAAUAAAUUCACUUAACUGCUGAAGUUUAUAAGAAUACAUUGGUUUUUCCAGUCAUUUCUUUAGAAUUUCACCAUAAAUACAAAUGACGCCAAAGAUCACCAUAAAUGAAGAAAGCCUCUAACAUGAGUAAUGGAGACUCAUACAAAAGAAGCAACUUGGAAGAAACAGACUAGGCAGAGGAAAACUUAACCAGUAUCAUCUUUAGAAAUAUGAAAUAAUAUAUUGUGUCCUUAAAACUUCCUAGGGUGGUGGUAUAUAACUGAAAUUCCAGCUACUGGUGAGGCCAAAGCAGAAGGAUUCCAAGUUUGAGGCUAGCCUGGAAAACUUUGUGAGACUGUCUCAAAAUUAAAUGAGCUGGGAGUAUAGCUCAGUGAUAUAAGGGUUUACCUAGCAUGUUCAAGACCCUGGGUUUAAUCCUCAAUGCUGGGGGGUGGAGGGGAAGUAAUAAAAAAUUACAAAAGGAUGCUAGAAAAGAAAAGAGCAAAAGAGCCUCAGAGACUUAAAAAUAUGGUAGCAGAAAUGGAAAAAUAAAUUAUUUUGAAGACAAAGUUGAGGAAAUAUCCAAAAAAGUAGGUGAAAUUAAAAAAAUAUGUAAAUUAUCAAUGAAAUAAGAAAAUAUCCCAAGAUAGAAGGAUACUUUAAAAAAACAAACAAAAAAAACUUUAUUUAUUUAUUUUUAUGUGGUGCUGAGGAUGGAACCCAGUGCCUCGCAUGGGCUAGGCAAGCUCCCUCCAAUGAGCCACAACCCAGCCCCCGGAUAUUACUUUAUAAUCUGAAAGGACCCACUAUAUGCUAGACAUGAAGGAUAAAGAUAAACCUACUCCAAGGCACAUCAUGUGAGAUUUUAGAACACUAUAGAGACAAGGAGAAAUUUUAAAUUGGGGGGGGGGAGGGGGAGAGCUCACAAAGGAUUAGGAAUCAGAACAUAAAUUUUAAUAGCAAAAUGAAUUAAGAGACGGGCUGGGGUUGUGGCUCAGUAGUAGAGCACUUGUCUCACCAUGUGAGGCACUGGGUUUGAUCCUCAGCACCACAUAAAAAUAAAUAAAAGGCAUAAAAAUAUUAAAAAAAAAUACAGUGGAGCUAGGUUCUUGGGAGGCUGAGGCAGGAGGAUCACUGCAUUUAGGAGUUCCAGACUGUUUGAGAGAAAAUAAGCAAAAAAUACGACUGGAAGGCUGGGAAUGUGGCUCAGUGGUAGAGCGCUUGCUUACCACGCAUGAGGCAUUGGGUUCAAUCCCAGUACCACAUCAAAAAUAAAUAAAUAAACAAAGGUAUUGUGUCCAUUUACAACAUGUGUGCGUGUGAGAGAGAGAGAAAGAGAGAGUGGAGAGCCACCAAUUCCUACUACUGGGUAUAAAUCCAAAAGAAAUGAAAUCAGUAUGUUGAAGAGAUGAAUCAACAGAAGUGUCCAACAAAUAAGUAAAAUAUCUUUAAAAAUAAAAAUUAACAGCCACCCACAGUGCCAUGUGCCUGUAGCCCAUGGGAGACCCUGAGGCUGGAGGAUGGCUUGGCUUCAGCAGUUCAAGGCCAGCCUGGACCACAGAGGGAAACCACAUCUCAAAAAAAUACAUAAAAAAAUUUAAAAAGCAAAGAAAAAGGGAGCAGAAAACUUACAAAUACUGAAGGAAAAUUACUUCAAUCUAGAAUUGUAUACUAUAACUAUCAAAUGUGGGAGGGCAUUAGACACUUCUAUACAUGAAAGGUCUCCAAUAUUUGGGUCUCAUGUACCUAUGAGGAAACUUCUGGAGGAAGGAAGGGGUGGUUGUAAUCAGGGAUCUCCCUCUUCAUCAGAAAUUGGCUCAAAAGAGGGAAGAACUCCAUAAUGAUGAAAGGAGGUUCCAUGAUAUGGCUGUGCUUUCGAUAAAGCAAACGGUCUAGGCUGCAGUGUGUCAGAAGAGUCCAGAUGUCUUCAAAAAGAUGAAACUAGCUGGGCACAGUGGCACAUACCCAUAAUCACAGCUACUUGGGAAGCUGAGGCAGGAUGAUCAUUAAGUUUGAGGUCAACCUAUCUCCAAAUAAAAACGCUAGGGAAAUAGCCUCAUGUGGCUUAUAGAAUUAUUUGAUCCUCAAAAUAAAAAGGCUUGGGGCUGGGGUUGUGGCUCAGAGGUAGAGCACUUGCCUAGCAUGUGUAAGACACUGGGUUCCAUCCUCAGCACCACAUAAACAAAGAUAUUGUGUCCACCCAAAACUAAAAAAUAAAUAUUAAAAAAAUAAAAAGGCUCAGUGGUAAAGCACCCACCAGGUUCAAUCCCCAGUACAGGGGGAAAAAAUUGAUUAAAACAAAAAUUUUUUUUUUAGUUGUAGAUAGACACAAUCUCUUUAUUUUUUAUUUAUUUAUUUUUAUAUGGUGCUGAGGAUUGAACCCAGUGCCUCACACAUGCAAGGCAAGCAGUUUACCACUGAGAUACAACCCCAGCCCGAUAUAUUUUAAUUAUUGAAAAAUUUUAACAAUUGUGGGGCAAAAGAGCUCGGGGUUUGAAUAAAGGGCAAGUGCUUAGAAAACUAAGUUAACAAUAAGACAACAAUUGCUCUAUUAAUUGUAUCAGGAAUACAAAAUGAGGAGUUUAGUUAAAUUAUACCAUAUGGCCCACUUUUUUGGUUAUGGUAGUACUGGGAUGGAAUCCAGGUAUACCCUACUACUGAAUUAUAAAUCCAGCCCAUUUUGUUUUUUCUUUCAAGGCAGGGUCUUACUGAGUUGCUGAGGCUGACCUCAUACUUGGGAUCCUGCUUCAGCUUCCUGAGUAGCCAGGAUAACAUGGGUGUGCCACUGCACCCCACUGGCCUAGCUUUAAGUAGCAUAUAUACUAUGAUAACAAAUAACAUUGCUACAAUAUAAGGUAUAAUAGGUCUUUGUUGGGAAGGCAGACGAAUUGAAGUAUGCAUAUUUUUGUGGGGAAAGUACAGAAUAUCUAAAUAGUGUAAAGUUGAUAAGUAGUAUCUAAAACAAAAAUAACAUGUAACACUAUGAGCAUAUUAUUUGGAGAUACAGUGGUAAGUAUUAAAGGAAACUUUUAAAAAGUUUGAAAUAGUUGCCUCUGGGGAAUAAACAUUUAUGGAGAAUAUUUAUGUUGAGGAUGGGAAGCUGAUAUUUUUCAUAUGGCUUGUAGAAUUAAUUGACCCUUUAAAUAUAUACAUAUUACUAAUAAAUUUAUAGUCAGACGCAGUUGUGCAUGCCUGUAAUCCCAGCGGGAGGCUAAGGCAGGAGGAUGGAGAGUUCAAAGCCAGCCUCAGCAAAAGUGAGGCACUAGGCAACUCAGUGAGAACCUGUCUCUAAAUAAAAUACAAAUAGGGCUGGGGAUGUGGCUCAGUGAUUGAGUGCCCCUGAGUUCAAUCCCCAGUAACAAAAAUAAAUAAAUAAAUUUAUAGAUGCAAUGCAAAAAGUUAAAGAAAAUAAAAUUACAGAGAAAAUACAUUUAUAGUUGUGUUGGCAUUUGACAGGGUGGUGAUUCAGCAGAUCAGCGGGGAAAAGAUGAAUUGACUGCUUAAGAGAUGAUUUGGGGAAAACCAAAAGAAAAAAAUGGCAUUGGAUUUCCAAUGUAUGUUGUGCUGGAAAAGUUGAAAGCCUAAGGUCAAAGGUGAACUUAAAAUGCUAAUACAAGAACUUGUUAUAUCUGUGAUUUUGAACUAGAGAGAGACUAGUUGGGGGACAAGUACUGGGGAUUGAACCCAGGGGUGCUCUACGACUAGGGAACAUCUCCAGCCCUUUAUAUUUUUUAUUUUGAGACAGGGUUGCUCUUAAGUUGCUGAGGAUUUUGCUAAAUUGCCAUGGCUGGCUUUGAACUUUGCAGUCCUCCUGCCUCAGCCUCCCAAGUUGCUGGGAUUACAGACCUCUCAACUCAAUGACAAAUGCAGAUUUUAGAAACAACAAGAUACCCAGCAAUUAGGCAAAAAUUAGUCUGGUAAUGCCAAAUAUUAAUAACAAUGUGAAGAGAUGGAUCUCUUUUGUACUCUUAUAGGGAGUAUGGAUUAAUACAGCUAUUUCUGGUUUUAUUAUUUAAUUACUUUGAGAAAUUAAAUAAGCACAUACUCAAUGAUCCAGCAAUCUUAAUUCUUUUUUUUUUUUAUAUAUAUUUAUUUUUUAAUUUUCGGCAGACACAACAUCUUUAUUUGUAUGUGGUGCUGAGGAUCGAACCCAGGCCGCACGCAUGGCAGGCGAGCGCGCUACUGCUUGAGCCACAUCCCCAGACCAAUCUUAAUUCUUGAUGAAUAUUUCAGGGAAACUUGUGUCUAGAUUUUUAAGGGGGUCACAAAUAAGAAUAUUUAUCACAGCACCAUUUAUAUUAGAACUGUGUUAGGUAAUUUUCAUUAGAGAAGUAGAGAGGUUAAAUACAUCAUAGUAUAGAUGCUACUCAGUAGAUAAAAAUAUUGGCAAAAGGAAGCAUGGAGAGAUCUUAAAAACAGUAAUGAGCAAAAGAAAGAAAGAAAGAAAAAAGUCAGGCAUAGUGGUACACACCUGUAAUUCCAGCAGCUUGGGAGGCCGAGGCAGGAGGAUCACAAGGUCAAAGCCAGGCUUGGCAACUUAGCAAGGCCAUAAACAAUUUAGUGAGAUCCUGUCUCAAAAUAAAAAAGGGUUCGGGGUGUGGCUUAGUGGUUAAUAUCCCUGGGUUCAAUUUCUGGUGCAAAAAAAAAAAUGAUUUUUUUUGGCACAGUAACAUGUCAAUUAAAAAUCACACCAAGAAACUUUUGGCUAUCCCAGUUAAAGAGGUCUAUGAACCGGGCACCGUGGUUCACACCAGUAAUCCCAGCUACUCAGGAUGCUGAGGCAGAAGAAUUGCAAGUUCAAGGCCAACCUAGGCAACUUUGGGUGACCCUAUUUCAAAACUUAAAAAGAGCUGGCGAUGUAGGUUAGUGGUAGAGCAUCCCUGGCUUUAAUCCCCAGUACUACAAAAACAGGCAGAUUGGCAGAGGUGAGUGCCUAUGAACUUGAGGUUUUUGAACACAAUGCAUCUAUCCAAAUUAUUGGCUUACCACUACCCUCUGCAGGGUGACCCUGAGGGAAAAUUUAAAAUAGGAACAAAAGAACUGGGCAGAGGGGCUAGAGUUACGGCUCAGAGGUAGAGCACUUGCCUAGCACAUGCAAGGCACUGGGUUUGAUGUUCAGCAUCACAUUAAAUAAAUAAAGGUAUUGUGUCCAACUACAACUAAAAAAAAAAUAAUUAAAAAAAAUUGGGCAGAGGGGGCUGGGGAUGUGGCUCAAGCGGUAGCGCGCUCGCUUGGCAUGCGUGCGGCUCGGGUUCGAUCCUCAGCACCACAUACAAACAAAGAUGUUGUGUCCACCGAUAACUAAAAAAUAAAUAUUAAAAUUCUCUCUUUCUCUCUCUCUCUCUCUCUCUCUCUCUCUCUCUCUCUCUCCCCCCCUCACUCUCUCUUUAAAAAAAAAAAUUGGGCAGAGACAUCAGCAGCAGCACACUGUGGAAAAGAUAGAUUUUUCAGUUUAAUUCCAGGCAAAUCACAUAUACGCACAUACUACUACCACCACUGACAAUAACAAAACAACAGUACUCCAAAAACAGAUUCAGAGUUCUUAAAGUGUAUUAUCUAAAAGGACUGGGUUGAGUGCCGUGGCACAUGCCUGUAAUCCCAGCAGCUCAGGAGACUGAGACAAGAGGAUUGCAUGUUCAAGACCAGCCUCAGCAACUUAGUGAGGCCCUAAGCAACUAAGUGAGACCCUGUCUCAAAAUGAAAACAAAAAUGACUGGGGAUGUAACUUGGUGGUAAAGCACCCCUAAGUUAAAUAUCCAAUACCAAAAAAUAACAUAAAAUAAGUUGGGUCUGGGAUUAUAGCUUGGUAGUACAAUAUUUGUCUAGAACAUGCAAGGCUCUGGGUUCAGUCCCCAAUAUCACACUCAUGCAUGUAUGCAUGUGCACACAUACCAAUUACCUAAAGUAACCAGUUUCUAACCCAAAUUAUGAGCCAUUUGAAUAAAUAGGAAACUGUGAUCCACAUCUAGAAUAAAAGAAAAAGUCAAUAAAAGCUUAGUCUGAGUAGGCCUAGAUGUUGAAUUUGGCAGACAGUUUUCAAAGCAGAUUUUAUAAAUAUUUUUAGAGAUUUAAAGGAAAAUAUUUGUUGGGCAAGGUGACACAUGCCUUGUGUCCCACCUAUUUGGGAGGCUAAGUGAGUUGGGAGGAUUAGUUGAGCCCAUGAAUUUGAGACCACUCUGGGCCACACAAACCCCAUCUCAAAAAUACAAAAACAAACGAAAAAAAUUUGACAAUGAUUCAACAAAUAGGGAAUCUCAGUAGAGAAACAGAGGCUGUAAAAUAAUAAUAAUAAUAAUAAUAAUAAUAAUAAUAAUAAUAGCAGCCAGUGGUAGUUUUAGAAUUGUAAAGUGUAGCAACUGAAAGGAAACAUUUAGUAGAUGGCCUAAUUGCAUGUAGGAAAUAACAUGCAAUAGAAAUUAUCUAAUCUGAAGAAUAGAGAAAAAAAUGUUAUUAGGCUCGGCGUGAAGACAUAUACUUGCAGUUCUAGCUACUCAGGAGGGUGCAGCAGAGGAUUGCAAGUUCAAGGCCAGUCUGGGCAAUUUAAUGAGACCUUCUCAUAAUUAAAAAAAAAAAAAAAAGCCUGGGCAUGUAUAGUUCUUGCCUAGCAUGCAUGAGGCCUGGGUUCAAUUCUCACUAUUGAAAGAAAAAAAAAAAAGACUAUGUUAGAAAGGAGGAGAUAUCUAAAAUCAAUAACCUACCAGGUGCAGUGGCACAUGCCUUUAUAAUCCCACCACUUGGGAGGCAGAAGCAGGAGGAUUAAAAAUUUAAGUUCAGCCUGAGAAACUUCAUAAGACCCUCACUCAAAAUCAAAAGUAAAAAAGGGCUGGGGAUGUAGCUCAGUUAUAAAGUGCCCUUGAGUUUAAUCCCCACUACCACAAAAAAUAAAUAACCUAAUCUUUUACUUCAAGAAGCUGAAAAAAUAAGAAAAACCUAAAGCAGUAGGGAAAAAAAAGAACAUAAUAAAGACCAGAGUGAAAUCAAUGAAAGAGAAAAUAAAAGCAUUAGAGAAUUAAUGAAACCAAAAAUUGAACCUUUGGAAAUAUCACCAAUAAACCAAAUGUGGUUCCACAUGCCUGUAAUCUCAGCUACCAGGGAGGCUUCAUCCAUUCAUCUAUUGAAGAGCACCUAGUUUGGUUCUAUGGUUUAGCUAUUGUGAAUUGUGCUGCUAUAAACAUUGAUGUGGCUGCAUCACUGUAGUAUGCUGGGUUUUUAAAUUUUUUAAUUGUCAAUGGAUUUUUAAUUUUAUUUAUUUAUAUGUGGUGCUGAGAAUCAAACCCAGUGCCUCACACAUGCUAGGCAAGCGCUCUACUACUCCAGCCCCAAGUAUGCUGUUUUUAAGUCCUUUGGGUAUAGACUGAGGAGUGGGAUAGCUGGGUCAAAUGGUGGAUCUAUUCCAAGUUUUCUGAAGAAUCUCCUUACUGUGUGCCAGAUUGGUUGCACCAACUUGCAGUCCCACCAACAAUGUAUGAGUGUACCUUUUCCUCUACAUCCUUGCCAAUACUUAUUGUUGCUUGCAUUCGUUUUUAAAAUUAAUUAGUUAAUUAAUUUUACAGUAGAAUGCAUUUUUUUGAGCACUUGAAUUUACUUUUGCUUAACAAUUUCCAUUCUAGAAAUCUAACAUAAUGGAAGUAACUUUCAAGUGGCAAAAAAUAGGUGCAUAUUCAUAUAUAUAUAUAUAUAUAUAUAUAUAUAUAUAUAUAUAUAUAUAUAUAUGUUGUUAUAAAGGUAUAAAUUUACUAAUAAAUAUGGAAACCGUAUUUAAGUUGUGUUAACAUAGUUGUUGUAUAUUCCCUUUAUCAAUUUACUAGUUAAAGUAUGAUAUCUUAUGAUACGUAGAUAAUCUCUGUUACAAGAUUUAGAUCUUUUAGUGUUACAAGAAAAAUUUUUUAAUAAUUAAAUAAAAUUAAUCCAUAUAUACUCUCGUCUUACGUAAAACUAAUUAACAUGUGUUAACGUCGUGUUGAAAUGUAAACAUGUACUACAUUGUAGUAUGGUGUACACGUCAGUAUAUACAUGGAUCCCAUUAUUACAGGUAGAGUAAGGUGGUAGAAAGGACGGGGGUACAUGGGAGAGAGGCGGAGAGAGGAGAGGGAAAGGAAACGGGUUUCAAGGAGGUAAAAAGGGUACGGAAGGGAUAGGGACAAUACCUAGUCGUAGGUAUAUAGUCUCUCUUGUAGCUCGGAAACCUUUUUUGGGAUUGGCUUAAUUUGCUUAGCAUGAUAUUUUCCAUCUCUAUCAAUUUACCUGCAAAUGCCAUAAUUUUAUUCUCUUUUAAUGCUGAGUAAUAUUCCAUUGUGUACAUAUACCACAGUUUCUUUAUCCACUCAUCUAUUGAAAGGCAUCUAGGUUUAUUCCACAGUUUAACUAUUGUGAAUUGAGCUGCUAUGAACAUUGAUGUGGCUGUGUCACUAUAGUAUGCUGAUUUUAAGUCCUUUGGGUAUAGACUGAGGAGUGGGAUAGGAGUGGUUCCAUUCCAAGUUUUCUCCAUACCACUUUCCAGAUUGGUUGCACCAAUUUGCAGCCCCACCAGCAAUGAAUGAGUGUGCCUUUCCCCCGACAUCCUUGCCAACAUUUAUUGUUGUCUGUAUUCUUGAUAACUGCCAUUCUGACUGGCAUGAGAUGAAAUCUUAGAGUAGUUAGAUUUCCGUUUCUCUAAUUACUAGAGAUAUUGAACAUUUUCCAUAUAUAUUUCUUAAUUGAAUAUAUAUCUUUUUCUGAGAAGUGUCUGUUAAGCUCCUUAGCCCAUUUAUUGAUUUGGGUUGUUUGUUCUUUUGGUGUUAAGUUUUUUGAGUUCUUUAUAGAUCCUGGAAAUUAGUGCUCUGACAUGCAUGUGGCAAAAAUUUGCUCCCAAAAUGUAGGCUCUCUCUUCACCACAUUGUUUCUUUUGCUGAGAAGAAGCUUUUUAGUUUGAGUCCAUCCUAUUUAUUAAUUCUUGAUUUUAUUUCUUGCGCUUUAGAAAUCUUGUUAAGGAAGUCAGGGCCUAAUCCGAUGUGAUGAAGAUUUGGGCCUAUUUUGCCUAUAUUAGGCUCAGGGUCUCUGGUCUAAUUCCUAGGUCCUUGAUCCACUUUGAGUUGAGCUUUGUCAAGGUAAGAAAUAGGGAUUUAUUUUCAUUUUUGCUGCAUAAGGAUUUCCAGUUCUCCCAGCACCAUUUGUUGAAGAGGCUAUCUUUUCUCCAAUGUAUGUUUUUGGCACCUUUGUCUAGUAUGAGAUAACUGUAUUUAUGUGGUUUUGUCUCUGUGUCUUCUAUUCUGUACCAUUGGUCUACAUAUCUGUUUUUGUGCCAAUACCAUGCCAUUUUUGUUACUAUAGUAUAAUUUAAGGUCUGGUAUUGUGAUGCCUCCUGCUUCACUCGUCUUGCUAAGGACUGCUUUGGCUAUUCUGGGCCUCUUAUUUUUCCAAGUGAAUUUCAUGAUUGCUUUUUCUAUUUCCAUAAGAAAUGACUAAGGGGAUUUUAAUUUGAAUUUCAUUGAAUCUGUAUAGGGCUUUGGGUAGUAUGGCCAUUUUGACAAUAUUAAUUUUGCCUAUCCAAGAGCACAGGAGAGUUUCCAUCUUCUAAAGUCUUCUUCAAUUUCUUUCUUUAAUGCUCUGUAGUUUUCAUUGUAGAGAUCUUUCACCUCUUUUGUUAAGUUGAUUCCCAAGUAUUUCAUUUUAUUUUUUCAGUCUAUUGUGAAUGCGUUAGUUUUCCUAAUUUCUCUUUCAGAGGAUUCAUCACUGAUGUAUAGAAAUGCAUUUGAUUUAUGGAUAUUGAUUUUAUAUCCUGCUAUUUUGCUGAAUUCAUUAAUUAAUUCUAGAAGUUUUCUGGUAGAGUUUUUUUGGAUCCUCUAAGUAUAGAAUCAUGUCAUCAGCAAAUAAUGAUAGUUUGAGUUCUUAUUUUCCUAUGUGUAUCCCUUUAAUUUCUUUCCUCUAAUUGCUCUGGCUAGAGUUUCAAGGAUUAUGUUGAAUAUAAGUGGUGAAAAAAAGGGCAUCCCUGUCUUGUUCUGGUGUUUAGAGGGAAUACUUUUUUUUUUUUUUGCCAUUUAGAAUGAUGUUGUCCUUGGGUUUAGCAUAGAGAGCUUUUACAAUGUUGAGGUAUGUUCCUAUUAUCCCUAGUUUUUCUAGUGUUUUAAACAUGGAAGAGUGCUAUAUUUUGUCAAAUGCCUUCUCUGCAUCAAUUGCUAUAAUCACAUGAUUCUUUAAGUAUAUUGAUGUGGUGAAUUAUAUUUAUUGAUUUCCAUAUAUUGAACCAGCCUUGAAUCCCUUUUACAGUAGAAUGCAUUUUGACAUAUAGUACACAAAUGGAGCACAACUUCUCAUUCCCCUGGCUAUAAUGGUUCACAAUCACUCCACUAGUGUCAUCACACAUGUAUAUAGGGUAAUAAUGUCUGUCUCUUUUACUGUUCUUCCCAUCCCCACAACCCCACCCCUCCGCUAACUUCCCUCUACACAAACCAAAGUUCCUUCAUUAUUCCCUAUCUUGCUGUCCUACUGUGGAUCAGCAUCCGCUUAUCAGAGAAAACAUUCAGCUUUUGAUUUUGAGGGAGGGAUUGGCUUAUUUCACUUAGCAUGAUAUUCUCUAGUUCCAUCCAUUUACCAGCAAAUGCCAUAAUUUCAUUCUUCUUUAAAGCUAAUAGUCCAUGUGUAUAUGUACCAUAUUUCCUUUAUCCUUUCCUCUGUUGAAGGGCAUCUAGAUUGGUUCCAUAGUUUAUCGUGGAUUGUGCCACAUUGAUGUGGCUGUGUCACUGUAGUAUGUGGAUUUCAAGUCCUUUGGGUAUAAAUCAAGGAGUAGGAAAGCGGGGUCAUUCCAAGUUUUCUGAGGAAUUUCCAUAUUGCUUUCUAUAGUGGUUGCACCAAUUUGCAGGUCCACCAACAAUGUAUAAGUGUAUGUUUUUCUCCACAUUCUUGCCAACACUUACUAUUACUUGUAUUCUUGAUAAUUGCCAUUCUGACAGGAGUGAGAUGAAAUCUUAAUUUUGAUUUGCAUUUCUCUAAUUACUAGAAAUGAUAAACACUUUUUCAUACAUUUAUUGACUGCAUUUCUUCUUCUGUAAAGUGUCUGUUCAGUUCCUUAGCCCAUUUAUUAAUUGGGUUAUUUGUUUUUUUGGUGUUAAGUUUUUUGAGUUCUUUAUAUAUGCUGGAGAUUCAUGCUUUAUCUGAGCUGUGUAUGUGGUAAAGAUUUUUUUUCCCAUUCUGUAGGCUUUCUUAUCACGUCAUUGAUGGUUUCUUUUGCUGAGAAGAAGCUUUGUAGUUUGAAUCCAUUCCAUUUAUUGAUUCUUGAUUUUACUUCUUGCACUUUAGGAGUCUUGUUAAGGAAGUCAGGGCCUAAGCCAACAUGAUGAAGAUUUGGGCCUAUUUUUCUUCUAUUAGGCACAGGGUCUCUGUUCUAAUGUCUAAGUCUUUGAUAUAUUUUGAAUUGAUUUUUGUGCAGGGUGAGAGAUAGAUGUUCAAUUUCAUUCUGCUACAUAUGGAUUUCCAUUUUUCCCAGCACCAUUUGUUGAACAGGCUAUCUGUUCUAAUGUAUAUUUUUGGCUCUUUUGUCUAGUAUGAGAUAGCCAUAUUUAUGUGGGUUUCUGUGUCUUCUAUUCUAGAUCAUUGGUCUACAUGUCUAUUUUAGUACCAGUACCAUGCAAUUUUUGUUACUAUUGCUCUGUAAUAUAGUUUAAGGUCCUGUAUCGUGAUUCCUCCUGCUUCACUUUUCUUGCUAAGGGUUGCUUUGUCUAUUCUGAACCUCUUAUAUUUCCAAAUGAAUUUCACGAUUGCCUUGUCUAUUUCUAUAAGGAAUAAUGUUGGGAUUUUAAUUGGAAUCACUUUGAAUCUGUUUAGCACUUUUGGUAGUAUGGCCAUUUUGACAAUAUUAAUUCUGCCUAUCCAAAACCACAGGAGAUCUUUUCCAUUGUCACUAGAAUUCUUCAUGACAUCAACCAUUCUAAAUUGCAUUCUGUGGAAAAAGACUUAAGAUGAAGAGAUACAAAGCUAAGACUUAUUGGGGCUGGGACUGUAGCUCAGUGGCAGAGUGUUUGAUCCUCAGCACCACAUAAAAAUAAAUAAAGACAUACUGUUCAUCUAGAACUACAAAAAAUUAAAAAAAUUUAUUGAGGAGUGCUAAAACUCUUGAGAGGUAUAUAAGUAAGGAAGUAAGGAAAGCAGGAUUGGGCAUAGGGAAAAACUGACACACCUGAAGAUGUAACUAUUAUGGUUUAGAUAUGAGGUGUCCCCAAAAAGCUCAUGUGUGAGACAAUGCAAAAAAGUUUAGAGGUGAAAUGAUUGGGUUAUGGGAAUUUUAACCUAAUCAUUACAUGAAUCCCGUGAUGGGAAUUAACUGGAUCGUAACUGUAGGCAGGCAAGGUGUGGCUGGAAGAGGUGGGUCCCAGAAGAGUGUGUUUGGGGUUUAUAUUUUGUUAUGGUGAGGACAGAUAGCUCUCUGUCUCUGUCUCUCUCUGCUUCCUGGUAGCCAUGUCUUGAGCCACUUUCCCCUGCCACACUCUUCCACCAUGAUGUUCUGCCACACUUUGGGCCCACAACAAUGGAGUUGGCCAUUAAUGGACUAAGAACUCUGAAACUGCAGCCUUGAAAAUAAGCUUUUCUACCUCCAAAAUUAUUCUUGUCAGGUUUCCUGGUUGCAGCAAUGAAAAAACUGACUAAAGUAUAUAACGAAAGUUUCAGCUGAUCCUAUGGGGGAACUCUGGAGUUGGAAUGGCCCUUCAGAUUUUUCUCAAAUUGAGGCAAAGAGACCAGGCCUUGUAUCCCUGCAUUAACCAAUUAUUGUACAUGGGUCCCAUAGAAGAGCUCACCUUAGGUGACUCGUUUUCCUAACUCAUAGGGCAUUGCAUUUGUGGUAUCAGAGGCCAAUGGGUGUGGUAGCAUACACAUAUAGUUCAAACUACUUGGAAGGCUGAGGUAGGAGGAUGGCUUGAGGCCAGGAAUCUGAACUGUAGGGCACACUGCUGAUUGGGGAUCCAUGCUAAGUUCAGCAUCAAUAGGGUAACUUUCCAGGAGCAGGGGAUCACUGUUCCUAAGGAGGAGUGAACCAAGGGGUGAACCUAAGGAAUUGUUAUGUUGACUCUGAAAAGAGAUCUGGAUGGAGCACUAUAGUAUUUGUUAAACCUAGCAGAGAAGUAUUAUUGCACAUGGAUAUGCCCAAGAGUGGGCCAGAUCCCGAGUGUUUACAUAAAUCAAGGUCCCAGGCCUCAAACACUUCAUAAACUAUACACAAUAUUUUAAAUAUUUGUAGAUUAUCUGUUUCUACUUUCUGGAACAUAAGCUCUAGGAGGGUAGAAACUAUGUUUUCUUCACCAUUUUUUCCCUAGGGACUGAAGUUGAUUAACUGUUGAGUGAAUCUAAUAGGAGCCUUGAGAUAUGAAGAAAAAGGAUCUGGCUUCAUGUUAUGCAGAGUUAAGAGUGGCAUGUCUCUGGAGAAGAGCAGGUGGAGCUGAGCAUGGGUGUGAACUCCUCAUCUUAAGCUGUGGCAGAAGACACACAGAUAAAGAUUCUCUAAUCAAGCAGGGUGCGGUGGCACAUGCUGCCUGUAAUCCCAGAAGCUCAGGAGGCUGAGGCAGGAGGACACAAAGUUGGCCUCAGCAACUCAGUGAGGCCCUAAUCAACUCAGUGAGACUCUAUUUCUGAAUAAAAUACAAAAUAGGGCUCUUUCUGGGGAUGUGGCUCAGUGGUAUCCACCCCCCCACAAAAAAAAAGUGUUGGGAAUUUGGCUCAGUGGUUAAGUGCCCCUGGGUUUAAUCUCUGGUACCAAAAAAAAAAAUAAAUAAAUAAAAAAAGACAGAAAGAAGAAAAGAAAGAUCCUCUAAUCAUGAGACCCUGCAUGAAGAAAGCACAAGCAUUCAACAUGUGGGAUCCAUUUUCACAGUCUGUAGUCUUCAGCCCAGUCUCUCUGGAUGCUCCUUGAGUUCUUCAAAUAUCCACAUGGUUUGAGGAAAGGCUUCAUGUUCCAGGUGAGAGGCAUUGUAGAAUACCAGAUGGAGAAUUAGAAGACCCAAUUUGAAUUCCCUCAAUCACUAACUAACUGUGAUUCUGGGGAAUUAUAGGGCUCAGUAUACUCAUAUGUCAAUGGGAUCAAUAGUACACAGCUGUCUUUAGGGUCAAGAGUAUUAAUGUAUCUGAAGCAGGGUACUUUCUGCAAUUCAGGCUAGUUCUAUGAGAAAUAGGGAUAAAGGACAGAAGAGAGAGAGAGAUCCUGGGCAAACUCCAGGCAGAGGUGCACACAGCCUGCUCACAGACAGGCCUCUCACAUUCCAGCUUCCACAUAUGCACAGAAAGCUGUGAGCUCUAUUCUACACAUCUGCGUAGAUAGUAACUGCCAAGAUAAUUGGUUUUAAAGUCUGUUCCUUAUCUUUUCCCCUGGCAUGCAGGAGCUGUGUGCCUAUGCACACAGAAGAGCAGUGGACAGAGAUAGCAAGACACCACCAUGGUCCGGGAUCAGCUGCUGGCCAAAAUGAGGGGCUACUUUCGGAUCCACAGCCUCCUGGCCCGACAGUGCUUGGCAGAGUUUCUGGGUGUAUUUGUGCUCAUGGUAGGCAGUAACUGUGGGGAAGAAAGGAGGGAGGUAGACCAAUAUUUCUGGCUCUUCCUAUACUUCCUUUUAACUCUCAAUCUCUUCUCUUUCCCUCUUGUUUCUCCUCUUCCUUCUUCUCCUUCUCCUUAUUUUUAAAUUUUUGUUGUUUUAUACUAGGGAUUGAACCAGGGCACUUUACUGCUUACCUACAGAGUUUCUGAUAACUUUCUGAGGGCUCACCAAGUUGCUGAGGCUGGCUUCAAACUUGCAAUCCUCUUGCCUCAACCUCCCAAGUCAUUAGAACUAUAGGCACGCUCAAGGACACUCAGCUUGCUUCUUCUAUUAGAUGCCUUCUCUCCCUUUUUCCUUCUCCUCCACUUCUUCCAUUUCUUUAUCUCUUUCCUGUUUCUGCUUUUCUCCUUUCCCUGCUGGUCCCUUGGUUGCUCCCAAUCUCUCUCCUGUUGGUCUCCUGGACUUCCUUUUCCUCACCUUUCUCUCCCU
RNAcentral lists this long non-coding RNA (17603 nucleotides) under Marmota monax (woodchuck). The stretch from base 3816 to 3883 matches the Rfam family "tRNA". The record is from RNAcentral. Lineage: Eukaryota; Metazoa; Chordata; Mammalia; Rodentia; Sciuridae.